UUCCAAAAUUAGGUGAAAUGUGAUGCUUACUGCAGUAUCAUCAAAGAGGUUGAGUAAAGAAAUUAGAAAUGCUCGUCUGUGUUGACGGUUCCCUCGGAUCAUGGAGUAUAGGUGUGAACACAACGCACUGGAUGAUUCAUCAUGUCUAAAACCUCUUACAGGAUCCUUUGGGCAGGUAUUGAUUGCCUGUUGUACCUGCUGAGGCCUAUUCAAGUAUUAAGUCACCAGACAACAUAACAGUACUUUGCAAAAUGAUAAAAUUAGAAUUACUUACAUGAAUGAACCCAGCAUAUUUUUUGUC
This is a long non-coding RNA of Strigops habroptila (Kakapo), 301 nucleotides long. RefSeq lists it as uncharacterized. The transcript has 3 exons. The record is from RefSeq and is a predicted model, not a curated record. NCBI's taxonomy places the organism in Eukaryota, Metazoa, Chordata, Aves, Psittaciformes, Psittacidae.